Molecule: small RNA, 125 nt
Filed under: Marmota monax (woodchuck)
Lineage: Eukaryota; Metazoa; Chordata; Mammalia; Rodentia; Sciuridae
Source: RNAcentral
GCCGGGCACAGUGGAGCAUGCCUGUAACCCCGGUGGCUUGGGAGGCUGAGACAGGAGGAUUGUGAGUUCAAAGCCAGCCUCAGAAAUGGCGAGACACUAUGCUACUCCCUGAGACCCUGUCUUUA